Molecule: non-coding RNA, 156 nt
Organism: Solanum lycopersicum (tomato)
Lineage: Eukaryota; Viridiplantae; Streptophyta; Magnoliopsida; Solanales; Solanaceae
Source: Rfam
AGUCCGAUGCCACGUCGACGGUAGCAAAAUGCGAUGACCGAAGAUGCUAUGAUUGGACGAACAUCUAGUUUUAAUUAACGUUUCGCAUUCUGAUAGGAAUCUGUGUAUGGAUUCAUUUUCAAUUCCUUCACGGAGCCGUUUCGUGCGAUUACAUCU